Molecule: non-coding RNA, 148 nt
Organism: Pan troglodytes (chimpanzee)
Lineage: Eukaryota; Metazoa; Chordata; Mammalia; Primates; Hominidae
Rfam family: Metazoan signal recognition particle RNA
About the family: The signal recognition particle (SRP) is a universally conserved ribonucleoprotein. It is involved in the co-translational targeting of proteins to membranes.
Source: Rfam
GCUAGGUGUGGUGGUGCAUGCCUGUAAUCCCAGCUACUCGGGAGGCUGAGGCAGGAGAAUCGCUUGAACCCGGGAGGUGGAGGUUGCAUUGAGCUGAGAUCGGGCCACUGCACUCCAGCCUGGGUGACAGAGUGAGACCCUGUCUCAA